UAGAGCCCCGCUAAUCCCGCCCCUUUCCUCUGGUUAAAAAGAAACCGCCACCACCAAAAAAAAAAAAAAAAAGCCUCUCCUCUGAUUUGAGGAGUUUUAGGAAUAACAAGUAGGAUAAGUUUGGUUUUGCGGGCGAAACACCCGGCCGGUUGAAUUUUUUAAGGGUCCUGUUGCCUGGUGACCGGAGGUGGGAUCCAGAGAAGACCCCCCCCAGACCGCUCUGAGGCGGGCUGAGGAAGCGGGUGCGGGCGCCCGCAGAGCCGGCAGAGGGGGGACCCCGGGGCCCGAGGAGUAGCCUGCCUUCAGCUUCUCCCGGCCAUCCUGGCAUCUCCGGCCGAGGCCUCUGCUUUGUGCCCUGCAGCCUGGCUUCCUGAGGCCUGGUAAGUUCUUGUAGCUGGUCUGUGCUUUAUUUCAGUAGUACUGUAUUGACUUGAUGGCUGCCU
RNAcentral lists this long non-coding RNA (443 nucleotides) under Mustela putorius furo (domestic ferret). RNAcentral describes it as "lncRNA (ENSMPUG00000030812.1)". The record is from RNAcentral. Lineage: Eukaryota; Metazoa; Chordata; Mammalia; Carnivora; Mustelidae.